Molecule: long non-coding RNA, 658 nt
Organism: Mercurialis annua (annual mercury)
Lineage: Eukaryota; Viridiplantae; Streptophyta; Magnoliopsida; Malpighiales; Euphorbiaceae
Exons: 3
Source: RefSeq, a predicted model, not a curated record
UUAACCUAAUAUUUCUUCAUCUUAAAACACCAAACUCAGCCGCCACUUUUCCUCAACAUCCUGAAAUUAUCAUCCCUUCCGUUCGUUCCAAUCCGCUUUAAAUCCGAUUAUUCUUUGACGGUUCUCAUCGACUCAACGAUCUCUUUAAUCUCUACGUUUUGAAAUCGAUUAAGACCCGUCGACUGUUCGUACUUCAGAGGCGAACCAGAGUUAGAUUGCUUGUCAAGUUUCACGUGGAAUAGCAAGCUGUGAGUUUAUAUCUCUAUUUACCUCUUUAUUAAGCAAAUGUUAUAUUUUGUAUAUUUAUAUGUAUAAACAGCUUUCGAACUGUUUUUCGGCAUUGUGGAUUUGAUUUGGAACGUGCUACUCGAUGGGCAUCAUCGGGACUGCUUGUGCACCGGUAAUGAUUAUGGUAAUGAGGUAGGUUUGAGAUACGUCUCACCUUAGUGAGGACACCGGUGGAAGAUACGUCUCCUGGGCUCACUAUUUAUUAAGUGAUAGUCGGGGAUCGGUUAUUGAGAUACGUCUCACCGACACGACAAUAGAUUUAGAAUUGUGGUUUAGGGUUUCAUUGAUAAUCCAUAAUGAAAAUGUUUUAUUAAACGUUUUAAAGGUUUUUAACUUAAUAAAUGUAAAUGGUUAUAUAAACUCUACUCAG